This is a long non-coding RNA of Paramormyrops kingsleyae, 460 nucleotides long. RefSeq lists it as uncharacterized. The record is from RefSeq and is a predicted model, not a curated record. NCBI's taxonomy places the organism in Eukaryota, Metazoa, Chordata, Actinopteri, Osteoglossiformes, Mormyridae.
CCAGUGCAGUGUCAGGGAGCAGACCUGCGGAAAACCUUCAUCUAACAAAGCUUUGUCAUCUCAGGACUCUGAGGCCCAGUUGACUGCUUGAUAAACAGUGCAACAUUUCCCAGGUGCUCCACAGACCCACAUGGAUGGAUAAAGACCAGCAACACAAUAGAGGAUGCUGGUAAGCCUUGGAAGGACUGUGUAGCCAACCCCUGAAAGGAAAAAUUCUGUAUUUCCUUACUUCUGUCACCCUACAGCAGUCGCUAAACCUGCAACAAGGUGGAUGUGUCACGGAGAAUGUUGGGGACAACCUGAACUCAGAAAAUGAGGAAUCAAGCAAAAGGUCACAUGCAAAAGAAGUCUAAAAUUAAAACAAACUCUCACACCACAACUCAAGAAUGAGAGACAAGACUUUGCCACUUGGCUAAGGUCACCGGGAUAAACCAGGUGGUACUACACAUGGGUGAAAACA